CAAGUGCGAUAAAUAAUGUGAAUCGCAGAAUCAACUGAAUCAUCGAAUUUUUGAACGCAUAUUGCGCCCGUUGGUAUUCCAACGGGCAUGCCUGUUCGAGCGUCAUUACAAGUUUAAAAUUCUGGCGCGAGCGCUUGCGUUCGCCGCCAGGCGUUGGAGCUCUAGGGCUUGGGGGGGCGCCGGCUCUCUCUCCUAGUCUCUCAAAUGGAUUCGCCUACGAGCCCCGUAGCAUAGCCGGACGCAUUAAGUUUUGGUCAAUUCAGACACUUCGUCAGGAUUAUCAGGCGCUGCAGCAGGCGUUAAGCCCGCUCGUCUCUCGACGACCAUAGAAACAAACUUGACCUCGGAUCAGGCAGGACUACCCGCUGAACUUAA
This 375-nucleotide unclassified non-coding RNA is filed under the name uncultured Ascomycota. RNAcentral describes it as "sequence contains ITS1". The stretch from base 1 to 105 matches the Rfam family "5.8S ribosomal RNA", at positions 50 to 154 of the family's 154-position model. Lineage: Eukaryota; Fungi; Ascomycota. The record is from RNAcentral.